RNAcentral lists this ribosomal RNA (1003 nucleotides) under Hyaloklossia lieberkuehni. RNAcentral describes it as "LSU rRNA". It matches the Rfam family "Eukaryotic large subunit ribosomal RNA", at positions 38 to 954 of the family's 3401-position model. Lineage: Eukaryota; Apicomplexa; Conoidasida; Eucoccidiorida; Sarcocystidae. The record is from RNAcentral.
GCAUAUCAAUAAGCGGAGGAAAAGAAAAUAACAAUGAUUCCCUCAGUAACGGCGAGUGAACAGGGAAGAGCUCAAAGUGGAAAUCAAAGGUUCUUAAUGCGCCUUUGACUUGUAGCCUCGAGAGGCGUGACCAGUGGAAGCGCUGAGAAAAGUUUUUUGGAAAAGAACAUCAUGGAGGGUGAGAGUCCUGUCUUUGCUCUGCGUUGUUAGUUCCACGUACGGUGCGCUUUUAUAGAGUCGCGUUCAUCGGGAUUUGAGCGCAAAAUGUGUGAUAAGUUUCACAUAAAGCUAAAUAUUGGUGCGAGACCGAUAGCAAACAAGUACCGUGAGGGAAAGAUGAAAAGUUCUUUGGAAAGAGGGUUAAAAGUACCUGAAAUUGCUGAAAAGGAAGCGAUUGGAGCCUUGUAGAUUCCAAGAAGUGAAGUAGAUUUGACAUCGWUUCUCCUUUCUUUUUGACCUAUUAAGGUAGAAGAAGGGUAUGCUAUCAGAUGAAUGAUCUACGAAUCUUUUUGGAGAGGUCAGCAUCAGUUACUUUGAGAAAAAGAUGGGUAAAGAAGGUAGGUCCCUUGUGGAUUGUUAUAGCUUUGCCUUCACGACUUUUCAAGGUGACUGAGGAGUGUUUUACUAGAAUUCGAGCCACACUUUCGAGUACUUGAAUUCUGUGAUGCUGACUGAAAUGGUUUCAACCGACCCGUCUUGAAACACGGACCAAGGAGUCUAACAUAUGUGCAAGUACGCGGGUUGUGAAAUCCUGCAUGCAUAAUGAAAGUGAGAGUAGGGAAAAAAGCAGUAAUACUGUUUUUUGCACCUACGACCGACCACGAUCUCAGAGAGAGGUUUGAGUUGGAGCAUAUCUGUUAGGACCCGAAAGAUGGUGAACUAUGCCUGGGUAGAAUGAAGUCAGGGGAAACCCUGAUGGAGGUUCGUAGCGAUACUGACGUGCAAAUCGUUCGUCAAACUUGGGUAUAGGGGCGAAAGACUAAUCGAACCAUCUAGUAGCUGG